ACAUAUGUCUAGUUGAUGGUGUGUCCCUUCAAUCAAUUAAAAAGAAUAAAUAUGUUUUAGACUAUAAAUUCGGUGAUGCUCGAAUACGCAAACAACGUCCAAAAAAACCUGUGUCACAAUCGAAUGGGAGUACUCGAAAUCCCAUGCAUGAGGUUCGUACAAAACACCAUGUUUUUCCAGGAGCAAACAGCGAUCAAGAACAUAACUUCUGUAAUCAACAAACAAUCAUAAUUAUUAAAAAAACACAUCACGGCCAUCAUAGAUGUCUUCAUCACUUGUGAAACGUUGAAAAUCUGCGUGCUUCUAAUUCACUCUUUGGACGACACGGCGGAUACAACACAUUUAUUCAAGAACAAUACUACGGCUUAAACUGACGAGCGAAGCGAUAUGAUUGGCAUUUUGGUUUGCAUGAUUAUUUCGCAUGAUAACAGCUUUCCGGUUUGUUCUACAGGAGGAAUUAGCUGCUGUUUUGGGAAUGUGUUUGAUUAUAGACGAUUGAGCAGGAAGGAAAUCUACACGUGGUCUGGUUUUUCGUUUUUUUUUUUUUUUUGUGAGGAGGGUGGAUCAACAAAACUUACUGUAAAACGAUACGUAUCCAUACUGAGAGGCAUGAGAUUAUGAUAGCCGUAAGGAGCCGCGCAUUGUG
Molecule: long non-coding RNA, 646 nt
Organism: Wyeomyia smithii (pitcher-plant mosquito)
Lineage: Eukaryota; Metazoa; Arthropoda; Insecta; Diptera; Culicidae
Exons: 5
Source: RefSeq, a predicted model, not a curated record